GGGAGGGUCCUGGUCCUCGAGAAAAAAAGUGUAUAAACUGUGUUAUGGACUAGUAGGUGCACUCCUGCUUGUGGGAUGCCCGCCAUUGCAAUCGUGAAUAAAUUACUACUUUACUGAGAUCCUUGCCUGUGCUUAUGUUAUUGGGUACAGAGUGUUUCUCACACUUUUGUUAGCUUGAAGUAUAACUUAUUAACAAAUAACUUCUGUUAAUUUGAAGCAUAGUAGUCAAAAAGGUGUUUCAUGACAUUAAAGUGUUUUGAUUUAGUUUCCAGCACUGUGAGCCUUCUGCUACUCUAUGUCAGUCACAGGUGCCAGAAUUGAGGUCCUGGCUAAGAAGACCCAGUGGGAGAAGCAAACCAGGAUUCAGCAGCCAUCAGAAGUAAAGAGGCUGCUCAGGUUGCAUCAGCUGUGCAGUGCCUGAAAAUGAAGCAGGCUGGUGGGCAGCUUCCCGAGCUGACAGCGUGACUCAUUGUGUUUGUGCAUCCUCGACAUCGGAGCAGACAGGAAUCGCAAUGGGAAGCGGGUUGUAGGCAGGAGUGAGUCAAAAAGAGCGCCUCCCUCCCUUGGUCUAAACACGCAGGGACAGUUCAAAACUUGUCUCAGCUAGAAGUUUGCCCUACUGCAGGAAUUCUUGUUUCGAAUGAAAGAAGCACUUAUUUAAUUUAGGGGAGGGAUGAUUACUUAAAGCAAUAUAUAAAAACAUACUUGAUCCUCUGACUAACUUCACAGUUACUCUAAUGUUGUCUUGCAAGGCUUAGGCCUAAGUCCUUUCUAUCAUCAUUUUAAAGCUAGUUUAAUAUUUAUGGAUCAUAAGAACGGAUUUGGAGGAUUAAAUGUGCUAUCAGGUUCUGCCUGCAAAACUAGCUGGCUGACAUGUUUUGACAGAUAAACACCCUGUCUAUACACAAAAUCUCUUAUAUUGUUAUAUUUAGAAAAAAUGUAUUCCAGUUCUGUACCACGACAAACGUAGAAUUCACAACACCUGAUAUCUAUGCAGUGGAAAUCUGUACAUUCAGCCUAGGUGGAUCUUUUCCAAGCUUGAAGGUAGUUAUGAGCCUGAACAGCUCUUAAGUGGAGAAGCACAUUGGCAAGAGAGACAGAGAUUUCAGGAAGGACAUCAAGCAAAGUGAAGACAGGAAGCCGAAUCCUAAAAAAAUACUAUUAAAUAAAGGAAGAUAGAUAUUUUCA
This 1188-nucleotide long non-coding RNA is filed under the name Anser brachyrhynchus (Pink-footed goose). Its description in RNAcentral is "lncRNA (ENSABRG00000020203.1)". The record is from RNAcentral. Lineage: Eukaryota; Metazoa; Chordata; Aves; Anseriformes; Anatidae.